Molecule: ribosomal RNA, 497 nt
Filed under: uncultured bacterium
Lineage: Bacteria
Description: bacterial SSU rRNA
Rfam family: Bacterial small subunit ribosomal RNA
Source: RNAcentral
AGGAUGAACGCUAGCGGCAGGCUUAAUACAUGCAAGGUUAGGGGCAGCAUGAUAUACGCGAGUAUAUUGAUGGCGACCGGCGGACGGGUGGGUAAUAGGUAGGAGACCUACCUCAUACAGGGGGAUAGCAUAGAGAAAUCUGUGGUAAUACCCCAUGAGGUUAUAUGAAUAGAGGCAUAUAAUCAAAGCAUAAGCGAUUAUGCGGUAUGAGAGGGGCCUACUGACCAUUAGCUAGUUGGUGAGGUAAGGGCUCACCAAGGCGAAGAUGGUUAGGGGUUUUGAGAGAGAGACCCCCCACAUUGGAACUGAGAGACGGUCCAGACUCCUACGGGAGGCAGCAGUAGGGAAUAUUGGGCAAUGGGCGAAAGCCUGACCCAGCCAUGCCGUGUGAAGGAAGACGGCCUUAUGGGUUGUAAACUUCUUUACUACGCGAAUAGAGGUUAGUACGAGAUACUAAUAGGAAGGUAGUGUAGUAAAAAGCACCGGCUAACUCCGUG